UGAAUUGUGAUAUCUUUUUGACAUGAACAAGGCCGGAUUUGAUAGACUCCAGCAGCUUUCUGGGUCUCCAUUAGAAACUCAACCACUUUCCUGUCUCUUCACCAUCUCGUCUUUCCAGCACUGUGAUCCAAGCUGGGAUGGCAGCCCAGUUCUCUGGAUAUCAAACUGUGAAGGAGCACAAAAACUCUGUUCUGAUAUUUUUUUCCAGGGGCCCAAGAACCUCAAGGCUCUCUUAAAUAGGUUCUUUAAACAGGAGGCAGAUUGCUAGCAUUUGGGGCUGAAAGCUGGAGGUUAUUUUGGAAUGUGAAAGCUGCUUGCUACUUGGAUCCAUGACAACCAUGUAGACACUAUUCGCUUUAACAAUCUACACCAGCAUGGUAAGCCAUAUUCCAAAGCCUGAGUCUCACUGGUAAUUGUGUUGUGCAAUCAGCGGGAGUUACUAGGUGUAUGAGGCUUCAUGUUUCUAUCUUAAAGAGAGUAAUAUAAAAAUUAUUAAACAACAUAAGCAAGAAGCAAGCAGGAUAUGGCAACAUACCUUGAUUUAUGAACACUGUUUUACACACCAGACAAGUAUUAAGUUUCCCAGAAUAUCUCAGAAGGGAUGUUGCUAAGCAAAGAUGAUGGUGAAAAGAGUAUUUAAUUAAGAUGUCUGAUGCAAUUUAUAGGACUAACAGCCAUGCUCCAAACUAUUGCCACCAAGCAGAAAAGGAAAAAGGUCCAAAUACAAUGAAAACAAGAAUACUUUUAACUCAAGUUUAAGAACAAAUAUAGAAUGGUUUGUCUAUUUUUGGGUCAAAAGCCAAUUACACACAUCAGACAGCAGUUGACAAUCAAACUAGUUAUUAUUGGACAUGAUAUAAGGAGUAUGCUGACAAUUUACCAACAGCUGUGACUCCCAGCAGCUCUUCUUUUUGGCAUGUUCAUUUUACAUUUCUACAGAAUUACAGGAAUUUCCUAGAGGAUUCAAAAUAAACAAUCAAAACCCAACA
RNAcentral lists this long non-coding RNA (989 nucleotides) under Parus major (Great Tit). Its description in RNAcentral is "lncRNA (ENSPMJG00000016286.1)". Lineage: Eukaryota; Metazoa; Chordata; Aves; Passeriformes; Paridae. The record is from RNAcentral.